This 1397-nucleotide ribosomal RNA is filed under the name Lactiplantibacillus plantarum. Its description in RNAcentral is "bacterial SSU rRNA". It matches the Rfam family "Bacterial small subunit ribosomal RNA", at positions 65 to 1433 of the family's 1533-position model. Lineage: Bacteria; Bacillati; Bacillota; Bacilli; Lactobacillales; Lactobacillaceae. The record is from RNAcentral.
AACUCUGGUAUUGAUUGGUGCUUGCUCAUGAUUUACAUUUGAGUGAGUGGCGAACUGGUGAGUAACACGUGGGAAACCUGCCCAGAAGCGGGGGAUAACACCUGGAAACAGAUGCUAAUACCGCAUAACAACUUGGACCGCAUGGUCCGAGCUUGAAAGAUGGCUUCGGCUAUCACUUUUGGAUGGUCCCGCGGCGUAUUAGCUAGAUGGUGGGGUAACGGCUCACCAUGGCAAUGAUACGUAGCCGACCUGAGAGGGUAAUCGGCCACAUUGGGACUGAGACACGGCCCAAACUCCUACGGGAGGCAGCAGUAGGGAAUCUUCCACAAUGGACGAAAGUCUGAUGGAGCAACGCCGCGUGAGUGAAGAAGGGUUUCGGCUCGUAAAACUCUGUUGUUAAAGAAGAACAUAUCUGAGAGUAACUGUUCAGGUAUUGACGGUAUUUAACCAGAAAGCCACGGCUAACUACGUGCCAGCAGCCGCGGUAAUACGUAGGUGGCAAGCGUUGUCCGGAUUUAUUGGGCGUAAAGCGAGCGCAGGCGGUUUUUUAAGUCUGAUGUGAAAGCCUUCGGCUCAACCGAAGAAGUGCAUCGGAAACUGGGAAACUUGAGUGCAGAAGAGGACAGUGGAACUCCAUGUGUAGCGGUGAAAUGCGUAGAUAUAUGGAAGAACACCAGUGGCGAAGGCGGCUGUCUGGUCUGUAACUGACGCUGAGGCUCGAAAGUAUGGGUAGCAAACAGGAUUAGAUACCCUGGUAGUCCAUACCGUAAACGAUGAAUGCUAAGUGUUGGAGGGUUUCCGCCCUUCAGUGCUGCAGCUAACGCAUUAAGCAUUCCGCCUGGGGAGUACGGCCGCAAGGCUGAAACUCAAAGGAAUUGACGGGGGCCCGCACAAGCGGUGGAGCAUGUGGUUUAAUUCGAAGCUACGCGAAGAACCUUACCAGGUCUUGACAUACUAUGCAAAUCUAAGAGAUUAGACGUUCCCUUCGGGGACAUGGAUACAGGUGGUGCAUGGUUGUCGUCAGCUCGUGUCGUGAGAUGUUGGGUUAAGUCCCGCAACGAGCGCAACCCUUAUUAUCAGUUGCCAGCAUUAAGUUGGGCACUCUGGUGAGACUGCCGGUGACAAACCGGAGGAAGGUGGGGAUGACGUCAAAUCAUCAUGCCCCUUAUGACCUGGGCUACACACGUGCUACAAUGGAUGGUACAACGAGUUGCGAACUCGCGAGAGUAAGCUAAUCUCUUAAAGCCAUUCUCAGUUCGGAUUGUAGGCUGCAACUCGCCUACAUGAAGUCGGAAUCGCUAGUAAUCGCGGAUCAGCAUGCCGCGGUGAAUACGUUCCCGGGCCUUGUACACACCGCCCGUCACACCAUGAGAGUUUGUAACACCCAAAGUCGGUGG